This 166-nucleotide ribosomal RNA is filed under the name uncultured bacterium. RNAcentral describes it as "partial 16S ribosomal RNA". It matches the Rfam family "Bacterial small subunit ribosomal RNA", at positions 346 to 509 of the family's 1533-position model. The record is from RNAcentral.
AGGCAGCAGUGAGGAAUAUUGGUCAAUGGGCGAGAGCCUGAACCAGCCAAGUCGCGUGAGGGAAGACGGUCCUACGGAUUGUAAACCUCUUUUGUCGGGGAGCAAUAAGGCGUACGCGUACGCAGAUGCGAGUACCCGAAGAAAAAGCAUCGGCUAACUCCGUGCC